GCCUUCGUGGUGUAAUGGUUAGCACACUCGGCGCAUAUUCGAGAAAUCUAAGUUCAAGUCCUUCUAGGGCA
RNAcentral lists this transfer RNA (71 nucleotides) under Stegodyphus mimosarum. It matches the Rfam family "tRNA". Rfam says of the family: Transfer RNA (tRNA) molecules are approximately 80 nucleotides in length. Their secondary structure includes four short double-helical elements and three loops (D, anti-codon, and T loops). Further hydrogen bonds mediate the characteristic L-shaped molecular structure. tRNAs have two regions of fundamental functional importance: the anti-codon, which is responsible for specific mRNA codon recognition, and the 3' end, to which the tRNAs corresponding amino acid is attached (by aminoacyl-tRNA synthetases). tRNAs cope with the degeneracy of the genetic code in two manners: having more than one tRNA (with a specific anti-codon) for a particular amino acid; and 'wobble' base-pairing, i.e. permitting non-standard base-pairing at the 3rd anti-codon position. Lineage: Eukaryota; Metazoa; Arthropoda; Arachnida; Araneae; Eresidae. The record is from Rfam by way of RNAcentral.